Non-coding RNA from Pelobates cultripes (western spadefoot toad), 280 nucleotides. The record is from the annotation of a GenBank genome assembly. NCBI's taxonomy places the organism in Eukaryota, Metazoa, Chordata, Amphibia, Anura, Pelobatidae.
CUUUAAGUCAUCAGAAAUAAUCACGCCUAAGUCCCUUUCCUUAGAUGUUGAGGUUAGGACUCUAUCAAAUAUUCUGUACUCUGCCCUGGGGUUUUUAAGUCCAAGAUGCAUUAUCUUGCAAUUAUCCACAUUAAAUGUCAGUUGCCACAACUCUGACCAUUUUUCUAGUUUACCUAAAUCAUUUGCCAUUUGGCUUAUCCCUCCUGGAACAUGAACCCUGUUACAUAUCUUAGUAUCAUCAGCAAAACGACAUACCUUACCAUCAAGACCUUCUGCAAUA